This 253-nucleotide ribosomal RNA is filed under the name uncultured bacterium. Its description in RNAcentral is "partial 16S ribosomal RNA". It matches the Rfam family "Bacterial small subunit ribosomal RNA", at positions 524 to 776 of the family's 1533-position model. The record is from RNAcentral.
GACGUAGGGCGCGAGCGUUGUCCGGAUUUAUUGGGCGUAAAGAGCGUGUAGGCGGCCAGACAGGUCCGUUGUGAAAACUCGAGGCUCAACCUCGAGACGCCGAUGGAAACCGUUUGGCUAGAGUCCGGAAGAGGAGAGUGGAAUUCCUGGUGUAGCGGUGAAAUGCGCAGAUAUCAGGAAGAACACCCGUGGCUAAGGCGGCUCUCUAGUACGGUACUGACGCUGAGACGCGAAAGCGUGGGGAGCGAACAGG